CAGAUACCCAGAUGAAGCCUCCAAAUAUAACCAGCCUACAGAUUUGUUGGAUUUUAUGCAGAAAAACUCUGACUUCCCUGGACUGAUUUCCUCUUGACUUGGGACUGUCCUGUCUGCCUAAUCCUUGGGAGAGGCUGGACUCUGGUCCUUCCCUGGCGGUCCUGUCCUGCAGUCACCCAGGAAGAAUGCAAGAAAGGAGGACCACAUUCUUGGUGGAUGCAGACCUUCUGGUUCUGAUGAACGUUUCCAAUAUCAGACGUGAGGCACCUUCUUCCCAUUCCUCAUUCCUCAUCCCUCUUUGUGUCUGACAAGCAAAGAGAAUACCUCCCAGGGAAGUGGUCAGGGUACCGUGAGACGGGAGCCACAGGAAUCCUGCAUGUGAACAUGUUGCCACGGACCACAGAGUUUAACAUCCCGCCAGAUCUUUGCAAAGACGGGAUAAGAUUAGUGUGCAAGAAGCCCUGAGUUCCCUGAAUUAUCUGUCCUUAGGUCACCAAGGUCUUGAAGGGUGUGGAUAUAAUGGAACUUCACUUUUUUUCAAGAACUAUAUUAUGGCAAAACACAGACAUUUUCUUAGGUUACAGAACUCCUUACUCAAGGAAGAAAACCAAGGAAGAUGAUGCCGAGACUAGAUUUUAUCAAAAGCCUAAUAGUCAUGCAUAGAUUAAUAGGUGACACUUGACUUGAGUAAAAGCAGCUAUCCUUGGUUUAGAUGAACACAGAAGUUGAAAGGUUUCCUGAAAAAAGAGAAAAAUAAAGACCUUAUUUUUACCUCAGACCUGAAUUUGACCAACGUGACCCUAUCAAACCAUUUACACCCACGGACGGCCAUUUUCUUUGAAUGGUUUUGGAAAGACACCCUCUUCAGGUCAGGAGAAGAAAAAAGCAAAGAAGUUAGCUACUUUUAUGUGGAAAACGGAUGCUUCUUUUGAUAGAUAAAACAGAGGAAGAGGAGUAUUUACAUUGUCU
This is a long non-coding RNA of Nyctereutes procyonoides (raccoon dog), 969 nucleotides long. RefSeq lists it as uncharacterized. The transcript has 3 exons. NCBI's taxonomy places the organism in Eukaryota, Metazoa, Chordata, Mammalia, Carnivora, Canidae. The record is from RefSeq and is a predicted model, not a curated record.